Molecule: ribosomal RNA, 447 nt
Filed under: uncultured bacterium
Lineage: Bacteria
Description: bacterial SSU rRNA
Rfam family: Bacterial small subunit ribosomal RNA
Source: RNAcentral
AUCCAGACUCCUACGGGAGGCAGCAGUGGGGAAUAUUGCACGAUGGGGGAAACCCUGAUGCAGCGACGCCGCGUGAGUGAAGAAGUAUUUCGGUAUGUAAAGCUCUAUCAGCAGGGAAGAUAAUGACGGUACCUGACUAAGAAGCCCCGGCUAACUACGUGCCAGCAGCCGCGGUAAUACGUAGGGGGCAAGCGUUAUCCGGAUUUACUGGGUGUAAAGGGAGCGUAGGUGGCAGGGCAAGUCAGAUGUGAAAACCCGGGGCUCAACCCCGGGAGUGCAUUUGAAACUGUCCAGCUGGAGUGCAGGAGAGGUAAGCGGAAUUCCUAGUGUAGCGGUGAAAUGCGUAGAUAUUAGGAGGAACACCAGUGGCGAAGGCGGCUUACUGGACUGUAACUGACGUUGAGGCUCGAAAGCGUGGGGAGCAAACAGGAUUAGAUACCCUAGUAA